Molecule: ribosomal RNA, 253 nt
Filed under: uncultured bacterium
Lineage: Bacteria
Description: partial 16S ribosomal RNA
Rfam family: Bacterial small subunit ribosomal RNA
Source: RNAcentral
UACGUAGGGGGCUAGCGUUGUCCGGAAUCAUUGGGCGUAAAGCGCGUGUAGGCGGCCCGGUAAGUCCGCUGUGAAAGUCGGGGGCUCAACCCUCGGAUGCCGGUGGAUACUGUCGGGCUCGAGUACGGAAGAGGCGAGUGGAAUUCCUGGUGUAGCGGUGAAAUGCGCAGAUAUCAGGAGGAACACCUAUUGCGAAGGCAGCUCGCUGGGACGUCACUGACGCUGAGACGCGAAAGCGUGGGGAGCGAACAGG